This 450-nucleotide ribosomal RNA is filed under the name uncultured Desulfuromonas sp. RNAcentral describes it as "bacterial SSU rRNA". It matches the Rfam family "Bacterial small subunit ribosomal RNA", at positions 933 to 1382 of the family's 1533-position model. The record is from RNAcentral. Lineage: Bacteria; Pseudomonadati; Thermodesulfobacteriota; Desulfuromonadia; Desulfuromonadales; Desulfuromonadaceae.
UGGAGCAUGUGGUUAAUUCGACGCAACGCGAAGAACCUUACCUGGGCUUGACAUCCCGAUCGCACCUUAUGGAAACAUAGGGGUCAGUUCGGCUGGAUCGGUGACAGGUGCUGCAUGGCUGUCGUCAGCUCGUGUCGUGAGAUGUUGGGUUAAGUCCCGCAACGAGCGCAACCCUUGUCCUUAGUUGCCAGCAUUCAGUUGGGCACUCUAAGGAGACUGCCGGUGUCAAACCGGAGGAAGGUGGGGAUGACGUCAAGUCCUCAUGGCCCUUAUGUCCAGGGCUACACACGUGCUACAAUGGCCGGUACAAAGGGGCGCAAGACCGCGAGGUGGAGCAAAUCCCAAAAAACCGGUCUCAGUUCGGAUUGGAGUCUGCAACUCGACUCCAUGAAGUUGGAAUCGCUAGUAAUCGCGUAUCAGCAUGACGCGGUGAAUACGUUCCCGGGCCUU